Molecule: long non-coding RNA, 2565 nt
Filed under: Homo sapiens (human)
Lineage: Eukaryota; Metazoa; Chordata; Mammalia; Primates; Hominidae
Description: HSALNT0298128
Source: RNAcentral
CUCCUUGUUAGGACAUUCUAAAGGCCUUUCUCUAUUGCUAGGCUCACAAUGAAAAUAACAAGCAGCAGGGCUGAGACUUAACUCCAAAGCCUGGGAGGAAGGUGGAUUGGAGUUGGUAAUGGUGGUGUGGUCUGGAAUAGUGGCAGUGGAAAUGGAGGAGAUGGCUGAGGCAGGAGUAUUGAGGAGAUGAAAUCACCCAGAUUUCAAGGGUGAGGAGAAGAAGGAGGGGCAAUGAUAGCGCUGGUAUCCUAAGCCUGAGCAGGGGACAGCAGGAGUGCUACCAAGAGAAAUGGCUCCUCCCAGCCCCCUUUCCCAGCCAUACCACACUCCAUGGAGUCAGCCCAGGCCUCAGCCCAGAGCACAGAAGAAACUGAUGAGGUGAGCAUGCCAGAAACCAGGUCACAGAAAUUAAAGAAAUCCUACAGGGUCUAGAUACAUACAUACAUACAUAUGCAUCUGUGUGUGUGUGUGUGUGUGUGUGUGUGUGUGUGUGUGUGUGUGUGUUAAUCAGGUAGAAUGACACAUAAAGAAGCUCUAUCUUGGCUUUUAGAUUCAGUCUCUACUCUCUUCACACACUGAGACCACAGCCGGGCACAUGUAGGAACAUGCCCUCCUUCUAGAGAUCUUGUGGGGACACACUGAGGAAAUGUGUAUUCAUGGCAGAAACUUCUCUGAGGAACCCUGAGUUUCUUUUUCUUACUUCCAGCCUCCUGCCCCAUGUCCACUGAGGUCUGGCCUAUGGAAUGUGGGGAGAGGGAGGUGGCCACUCCCGGGCCUGUCCCACUCACAGUAGCUUCCCGUGUGGUUCUCGGCCUUUUCCUCCUGUCUGGCCAUAGGAUGUCAUUGCUCAGAGUAUGGAAAAGGGGAGUGUCUUCUCAGGCUGGGCUCCUGAAUGACAGUGUUUUCUCCCCAUAACCAGGGUCAGCUACGCCAUGCAGUGAACUACAUCAGAUUUUACUGUGGGCCAGGCGCGGUGGCUCACGCCUGUAAUCCCAGCACUUUGGGAGGCCAAAGUGGGUGGAUCAUUUGAGGUCAGGAGUUCAAGACCAGCCUGGCCAACAUGGUGAAACCCUGCCUCUACUAAAAAUACAAAAAUUAGCUGGGCAUGGUGGCAGGAGCCUGUAGUCCCAGUGACUUGGGAGGCUGAGGCAGGACAAUUGUUUGAACCCAGGAGGUGGAGGUUGCAGUGAGCUGAGACUGUGCCACUGCACUCCAAACUGAGCAACAGAGCAAGACUCCGUAUCAAAAAAAAAUUUUUUUUUAAUUGUAGUAAGCCACUGUAGUUUGGGGGUUUAAGCAUUGUGUCACCUCAGAGAAUAUGGAUGUUACCUCAGAGAGUAUGGGGAAGCUUUUUGAGAACUACAAGACAGUAUAGGACUAUAAGGUAUUUUAGACUGCUCCCAUGUUUAAAUCCCAGGUUUUGCAGUCUGGGAAGGCUGUUUGGAAGGGGCAGUGGGGCAGGUGACACCAGCUUGGGUUGUGCUAGGACCAGCACUCCCCUGGGGUGACACCCACUGGCUGUGUGAGAUCAGCUAUGUCUCAGAGCCCAGGGACCACUCAGAAUAAGCCCCUCCUUUAUUAUGCAGAUGAGCUCACAGAGAGAUAGGGAGCCUGAGGUUAUGUGGUGCCUUCCCUGGUACCAUGUGAGGACUGGCAACACGGAUCCUUGUCAUGGUGAAAAAAUGACUGUGGAAGACGGUUAUAGCAAUGGCUCCCAAUCAAGACGCCUCCUUGUUUCCACAUCAUUGUGUAGUCCCUGCCCACACUGGCUCUGGGCUUGACCAUGAGAUUUGUUUUGGCCAAUGGAACAUCAGCACAUGUGAUACAAGCAGAGGUUUGACAGGCACUGGUGCAUCGGGGCUUGCUCCCUCUUGCUGCUGGGACCCCUUCUGCUAUCACAGGAAGAAGUCUGGGCUAGUCUACUGGAAGGUGAGACCAGGGGGAGCAAAGACAAGUCAGGCCUGCUGAGUUCCACUAGUUCCCAGUUAUUCUCAACCAAAGGACAACUUGGUCCUCCAGGGAAGAUCUGGUAAUGACUGGAGAUAUUUUUGGCUGUCCUACUGGCAUCUAGUGGGCAGAGGUCAGAGAUGCUGCUACACAUCUUAUAAUGUGCGGGACAGUCCCCCCAUAACAAAGAGUUACCCGGUCCCAAAUGUCAGCAGUGCUGAGGUUGAAAAACCUGCCCAUGAGCAACCAACCCACAGCUGACCUCCCAGCUGACUGCAGCCCUGUGAGUGAACCCAGGCAGCUCACUCCCUGGACUCUGGACAGUUGCCAAGGAGGUGUGAAGGGAAGGCAGGAGGAGGACUUCCUGUGGAGGGCGCAGGCCAGGCAGUGAGGCAGCCGAGCUGUCGCUUCCGGAGCUGACAUUGCACAUCUCGCUCAUGCAUGCGACACUGCUGCAGACGAGGCUCAGUGCCGUCCCCGUUUUCCAGAGGCAAAGGAGUCACAGAGAGCUCCCGUCCCUUGCCCCGCCUGCCCUGGCGCCCACCUGUGCUGCUGCCCUACUGCCUUCCAUCAGGGAGGAUAAAGCCGACCGGGGCAGUUUGGAAACCACAUUCAGAC